This 261-nucleotide ribosomal RNA is filed under the name Triticum aestivum (bread wheat). RNAcentral's name for it is "partial small subunit ribosomal RNA". Lineage: Eukaryota; Viridiplantae; Streptophyta; Magnoliopsida; Poales; Poaceae. The record is from RNAcentral.
UGUAAUAUAUGUGAAAAGGAAACAGAGGACGAGUACCAUGCUACGGUCGCAUGCACCAAGGCCAGGGCGCUCCGCAUGGAGAUGAGAAAGGUCUGGGACCUACCGGCAGAAGAGAAGUUCAAAUAUACAGGGGUGGAUUGGCUACAACUGCUGCUGGACACAUGCAGUAUGGACGUACGGCAGAAAAUCAUGCUCUUGCUGUGGCGCGCAUGGUGGCUACGUGAGGACUGCAUUCAUGCAAAAGGAAGAGCGACGAUUGGG